AGCCGGGGGCAGCUGCUCUCGUUCCGGUUUGAAAGGUGGGAAGACAUAGGCUGCCGGCAAGGAAGCAGUUUUUUUUCCCCCAACGCCCCACAGCCUUUAAGACACAGUGUGGCUUUCAUGUCAACGUUCUACCCACCAUUGGGACUUUCCCUAAAUUCAGGUCUCUCAAGGUCCGGAAUGUUUCCACGCCCCUGUUACAGAGGACAACAGGCGUAUUUUGUGUAGGCAGUUGUGAGGAUUAACCGAGAUUAGCAGAUUAUGCCUAAAAACAGGGCCUCAUUAGUAAAUACAAGAUGAUCCAUGGCCAACGACAAACUUUUGCACGUCAAAUCUUCAUAAUUAUGUUUGGAAGCAAUGAAUAAUUUUUUUAAAGGGUGGGGAAUGAAUUUGAGACAAGCCCACAAACUGACCAAGUCCACUCUGAAUAUGGGCUAUUUCCCAAGCACGCUUCAGAAAUCUGUAUAGAAUUGAACCACUUGCCAAUCUAAUUUAUCCUCUGUCACUCCAGCUGUCUGUAUGAUUGUUAUCGAAUCUGGGGGCCAUAGAAUGUGCUCCAAACCAGGCCCAGGCCACCCAUCCUUAAUAAGCAAACAAAUUAAUAGUGGAAAGCAGAAGAUGGCUAUUCUUGCUUGUCAACUUGGCUACAUCUGUAAUUAAUGGGAAUUCAAAUGGCUGGGCACACUCUCGGGAGAUGUUUUAAAUGAAAUCGUUUGAAAUGGGGACACCCACCUCUAAACUGAAUCUUUGGGCCAGGAAGAUCCGCUUUUAAUCUGGGCCACACCUUCUGCUGGCAGCCUGGAUAAGGGACGUGGAAGAAGGAAGCUCUCUGUUUUCCUGCUUGCUUUCACCUUUACUGGCAAUCCCUUCCCAGAGCCUACUUCUUUGAGAUUCCUGUGUAUACUGAAAAUCAGCUGAGACACCCAGCGGUGUGGACUGAACAAAUACUGGAUCGUUGGGCCUCCUGUUCAUAGGCAGGCUUUGCAGGAGAAGCCGGACCACACAGCUUCCUCCAGCUGAAAGUAACCUGAGGUGAUUACAAGGCAUCACAAGGAAGGUAGAAAGAAGGCUAAACGUGGGACUCCAUACACAGCUUCCAUGAGAUUGACAUCCAUGAUGGGCGAGGACUGCUUUGGGGUCACCUGAAUGUCUAUAAGUAACCGAUUCUCCACGCUCCUGUAAAUCUAAUAAAAUCAUCAGCUCACCAA
Long non-coding RNA from Meriones unguiculatus (Mongolian gerbil), 1205 nucleotides. RefSeq lists it as uncharacterized. The record is from RefSeq and is a predicted model, not a curated record. The transcript is spliced from 2 exons. NCBI's taxonomy places the organism in Eukaryota, Metazoa, Chordata, Mammalia, Rodentia, Muridae.